This 274-nucleotide ribosomal RNA is filed under the name uncultured bacterium. RNAcentral describes it as "partial 16S ribosomal RNA". It matches the Rfam family "Bacterial small subunit ribosomal RNA", at positions 523 to 796 of the family's 1533-position model. The record is from RNAcentral.
AUACGGAGGGGGUUAGCGUUGUUCGGAAUUACUGGGCGUAAAGCGCACGUAGGCGGACUGGAAAGUUGGGGGUGAAAUCCCGGGGCGCAACCCCGGAACUGCCUCCAAAACUUCCGAUCUAGAGAUCGAGAGAGGUGAGUGGAAUUCCAAGUGUAGAGGUGAAAUUCGUAGAUAUUUGGAGGAACACCAGUGGCGAAGGCGGCUCACUGGCUCGAUACUGACGCUGAGGUGCGAAAGCGUGGGGAGCAAACAGGAUUAGAAACCCUAGUAGUCC